AAACAGCCGGGAGAAGAAGAAAUUUGGAAUUUUUGGAAAAAGAGUGGCUGACUAGGAUAGGUGCACGUGUGGCUGUAAAUUAAUGGCGGCGACAAACAAAUCUGGUCCCUAAAUCUACGCUUGUCUCCAGUCAGGAGUGGGCGGCCGUGUGAUGAUUUCUUUUUGUUAUAUAUGUUAUGUUCUGUUCACACAUUCAUACUAUAUGAGCUUUUAUUAUUCGUAAUGUCAUUCGGAG
This 235-nucleotide long non-coding RNA is filed under the name Linum usitatissimum (flax). Its description in RNAcentral is "long non-coding RNA (LUSI_LNC001368)". The record is from RNAcentral. Lineage: Eukaryota; Viridiplantae; Streptophyta; Magnoliopsida; Malpighiales; Linaceae.